AACCAGCACCUCAAGUGGUCAGGAUGAUUAUUGGGCCUAAAGCAUCCGUAGCCGGCUCUGUAAGUUUUCGGUUAAAUCUGUACGCUUAACGUACAGGCUGCCGGGAAUACUGCAGAGCUAGGUAGUGGGAGAGGUAGACGGUACUCGGUAGGAAGGGGUAAAAUCCUUUGAUCUAUUGAUGACCACCUGUGGCGAAGGCGGUCUACCAGAACACGUACGACGGUGAGGGAUGAAAGCUGGGGGAGCAAACCGGAUUAGAUACCCGGGUAGUCCCGGCUGUAAACUAUGCAAACUCAGUGAUGCAUUGGCUUGUGGCCAAUGCAGUGCUGCAGGGAAGCCGUUAAGUUUGCCGCCUGGGAAGUACGUACGCAAGUAUGAAACUUAAAGGAAUUGGCGGGGGAGCACCACAAGGGGUGAAGCCUGCGGUUCAAUUGGAGUCAACGCCAGAAAUCUUACCCGGAGAGACAGCAGAAUGAAGGUCAAGCUGAAGACUUUACCAGACAAGCUGAGAGGUGGUGCAUGGCCGUCGCCAGCUCGUGCCGUGAGAUGUCCUGUUAAGUCAGGUAACGAGCGAGAUCCCUGCCUCUAGUUGCCACCAUUACUCUCAGGAGUAGUGGGGCGAAUUAGCGGGACCGCCGCAGUUAAUGCGGAGGAAGGAAGGGGCCACGGCAGGUCAGUAUGCCCCGAAACUCUGGGGCCACACGCGGGCUGCAAUGGUAACGACAAUGGGUUUCGAAUUCGAAAGGAUGAGGUAAUCCUCAAACGUUACCACAGUUAUGACUGAGGGCUGCAACUCGCCCUCACGAAUAUGGAAUCCCUAGUAACUGCGUGUCACUAUCGCGCGGUGAAUACGUCCCUGCUCCU
Molecule: ribosomal RNA, 864 nt
Filed under: uncultured archaeon
Lineage: Archaea
Description: SSU rRNA
Rfam family: Archaeal small subunit ribosomal RNA
Source: RNAcentral